GCUGACCGAACAACAAAUCACAAAUAUAUCCUACUGAAUAAACAAAUCAUUUGACCAACCCAGUAGAUGCGAUCGAACAGUCACAAGUCACAACAGAGUACCGCAAGGGAACCACCAUCAAGCAACAAGCAGCAAAGACUAACCCUUGUACCUUUUGCAUCAUGGUUUAGCAAGAAUCCAAGGACAAGAAGAAUCACAGCCCACCCCCCGAAACCGAACGAGCUAUUUUUAAGCAGUCUAACGGACGCACCCUUCUAUGUAGCAAAAUNGUGGGAAGACUUAAAA
Molecule: ribosomal RNA, 285 nt
Filed under: Crotalus sp. AAL-2011
Lineage: Eukaryota; Metazoa; Chordata; Lepidosauria; Squamata; Viperidae
Description: partial 16S ribosomal RNA
Source: RNAcentral